GUCACGAUAGUUUAAGUGGUAGGGUAGCGGCGUACUAAGCCGAAGGUCGUGGGUUCGAAUCCCACUCGUGACA
Molecule: transfer RNA, 73 nt
Filed under: Cimex lectularius (bed bug)
Lineage: Eukaryota; Metazoa; Arthropoda; Insecta; Hemiptera; Cimicidae
Description: tRNA-Ser
Rfam family: tRNA
About the family: Transfer RNA (tRNA) molecules are approximately 80 nucleotides in length.
Source: Rfam by way of RNAcentral